Molecule: unclassified non-coding RNA, 7904 nt
Organism: Stegodyphus dumicola
Lineage: Eukaryota; Metazoa; Arthropoda; Arachnida; Araneae; Eresidae
Source: RefSeq, a predicted model, not a curated record
AGAUUAGAAAGAAGCGAUUGGCAGUCUGGACCAUACAAGGGUGUUAUUCUCUUCGGUAAUAAUAUGGUGUCUAAGAAUAUUAAGUCAGCAGUAAAUACCACAAGUGUUUCUUUAGGACAACAUAUGAAAUCUGACAAUCAUCCAUUUCUGGUUGCCACAUAUACCAGAGCUUUAUGUUCCAAUGUAAAAGAGAAGUGGAAUGUAAAGCAACAUGCUAAAGCACAUACUAGUGGACUUCAGUUUAUUAGUGAAAUAGACAUCAAAGUAAAAUCAUUUGAUAUUAUUCUAUGGGUGUCAUUAUUUGAUGUUAUGCACCAAAUCUUUUAUCCAUUUUGGAAGUCUUUUGGAACUUCAAGUUACAGUUCUACGAAUGUUAUUAAUGAAAAUAAGUCUCCUAUAGGAAUAAAAUUUUCUAGUCAAAAUUUGCCAUUAUUGUACAUAGAAACAAAUAUCAUUCAGUUGUACCUACCUGAAAAUAAUAUAUUAUAUGAUUCAAUAGCCAUUUCCAGUAGUUUGAAUCAGGAAUGCCCAAAGAAUGAAAAGGAAGCUGAAGUAUUGUUAUUGCAGUUAGAUUGUGUGUCUCUGACAUCACAAGUAGAAAAUCCAUUACCGAGAAUAAUUCUGAAUCCUGGUAUUUAUUCAGAAGCUUUAAAUUCAAAAACUAUUGCACUACCUGGGGCUGCAGUUGAAGAUCGGCAGUACCAAAUGGAUAUCUUUGGUUUGGCACUUGGAUCACUUCCUGGAUCCAAUAUGUCAUGCCAAACUAGUGCGAAAAGAGAACAAUUUCUACAUCAUCCUUUAACAAUGGGUGAGAAUCCAGCACUUGAGUGGAAUAUUGGUGUUAUUCCUGAGAAUCGAAAUUUUGCAAACGAAAGCAAUGUAAUAACACCUGUUAUUUCACCAUUAAAUAUUCGCAUAGCAGUUGCACCUGCUAUAAUUUAUGAGGAUCAGAAUAAAUCUCAGUCCCAAGAAAAAAUUGCAGUAGCUGGAAUAUCUGUUGAAGUUAGUGUGACAAGUGACAUAUUCUUGUAUUUAAGUAUUGAAAAAACAUGCUUUAUUUACUCAUUGUUGAAAAGUAAUUUGAACUUCUUCUAUGGAGCAUUGUCUCAUUUUAAUCAGAAGAAAAGUACUAAUAAUUCUAAAAUCACCUCAGAAGAUGAAGUAUCUGGUUCACAAACAAGUGAUGAAUUCCAAAUUUAUAUACCAUCAUGCUUUACUCACGAUUCUUCAAAUAAUAUACCUCCCUCAACUAAAAGUGAGAAAAGCUUGAAGUAUAAUUUUGUGCCUUUUGAUAUACUGAUAACUGCAGGAUCAGUAUCUAUCAUGCUUUUUUAUCAUGACGAAACUUUAAAUUCUUCUGGACAUGAAAUUUCAGCCAAAGAAUUGAGGACUGAAACUGUUGUUUCAAAAGUAUUUUCUGAUAAGAGCUCAAAAGUAAAGUCACAUCUAGAAACUGAUCAAGUAAAACAUAAAAUUCCAUUUUCUGUUGAUAAGAAUAGUAACAAGAGUGCCACUUCAUCUGAAUACUACCAUUUCACUGUAUUGCACCCAUUUGCAUGUGUGUCUAUUGUACAGCCUCACACAUACAUACUUUGUCACCCAUCUUCACAGAAGUUUGAAUCAUCCUGCUUUGAUUUGCGAUUAUAUGGAUCACCAUCUGGACAUACAGUUAAGAAAUUGCAUAAAUCAUGUACUCCUGUAAAUGAUGAUUUCAUAUUUCCUUAUCUGGAAACAAAACCUGGAGAACCAAAUGAAAAAACUGGUAUUCCCCCUGCAUUUUUCACUGUGACAUGUACCGAUUUUUUCAAUGAUCCAGCAAAUAUUAAAAUCUCAAUUGAACGACCUGUGAAAUUCAACUUCAGAAAUGAUUUAUUAGGAUCUAUUUUGGCUUUUAUUAAAUGCUGUCAAGAAAAAUUUUCAUCUGUAAACAUACCUUAUAAGUUCAGCAUAAACUGUAAUGAACAGUCAGUGUAUAUGGAUAGUAAUUUUCAGUUUCCAGUUAAGCUGAAGAUACUGAAAUUUUUUGAGAAGAUUGUACUGUAUACAACUCAGCUGGUUUUUGAAUUCAUGCCUUCAUUGGAUGCUGUUUCAGAAAAAUUAAUAAUUUCUGCUGGUAGAGUAGUCAUAAAUACAGAAGUUGAAACACACAAAGAUGAACUUAAAAGUACUGAACUGAAUGUGAAAGUUUCAAGUAUCAUAUUACAGUCUCAUAGUGUGAAGGAAACAUGGAAUUUUUUGCAACCUUUGUCAGUUUCUUUGACUGUCAAAUGUCAUUUCAACCCAUGGUUUCAAAUUGAAUUUUGUAUAGUUGGUGAAAGCUUGCUUUUAAAUUUGAGUCUACACCAUAUUUUGAAACUAAAAGAAAUCAUUAAAGCCAUUGAGGAGGAAUUAUUGACUCAAAUAAAUUCCAUCAGAAUGAUGGUUUCCGUGGUAGAUAAAACUCUAAGUUGCUCUGCUCAGCAUUCAGAUGGUAAUGAAACAAAGAAACGAAAACAUUGGGUAGAUGAUUUAAGAAAAGGAGCUUUUCAAUUCAUACAAGUUUCUGAAGAUAAAGAUUUUCAACCUAAAGCUCAUGAAAUUGUCUUCAACCGAGCUUCUCCAAAUCAGCCUGCUUCAAUGACUUGGCGUUACCCAGAACCAAGAGCUUUGACCAAAAUUCAUGUGUCACCCGUUCCAUUUCAGUGCGAAGAGGGAAAACUUAGUGAAGAUACACAAGUUUUAACUUGCUAUCUUCAAUUCUGGAAUUCUGCUCAUCAUGAAUACAUGAACCUUUGUGAUUUUAUGCUGUCUGAAACAGAACACUGCAGUCUAGACCUGCCAGAUUUGAAUUCUGAUUUUCUAGCAGUUUCUGACAAAUGGAGAGUUCUUUUGGACUGCCGAAGUUAUAUUGAUGAUGAUGGUGUUCUUGAGAAAGAAACUCCUUGUUUAUCACCUCUUGCAUUAGCUGCCUGCAUGGCCAUUGAUUCAUGCUUUGAUCCUUGUCUGAUACCUGUUCUACAAAUCAGAGCAUCUUUUGAGCUUGCUAAACUGACUCUCUAUAAUUACUUUCAGAAAACAGGUUAUUCGCCCACAUUAUUUCCUUUUGAGUUUGAUGAUGAAUCUCCAUCCAAUCAAGAAUUUGCUGUGCUGUCAUUUAUAAACCCUACAUUAUCAUAUAUUAAAUGGUCAUCAAAAUUGAAAGGAGAAUUGUCAUCGGGUGUAACAUGUGAAAUACUAGAGUACAGAAACCUUACUAUGCUCCCUGUUAUAAGCCCAGUGGACAUACAUUGUAAUUCAUCAGUAAAUUUUGAUAAAGAAAAGGUGCCUUUGAUUGACAUAGAGUGCAUUAUACAACCGUGUUUUGUUAGAUUAACACAGUCUAUUGUUCAUACUAUUUCAUACACUGUACAUUCAUUUUAUCAGGAAUUUCUUUCUUCACCUUUUUUUUGUUCUGAAUAUAUUCUGCCAAAUUAUUAUCUGAUUUGUAACAGACUGCAUGAAAGCAUACGUUUUGGACAGACAAACACUGAAGAGUAUGUUAUUUUAUCUCCAUUAAAAGUGCAUGCAUAUAGCUGGUGGUGUCAUAAAAGUAAGCAGAUGUUGCGCCUGAGCAUUGGAAGUCUGCACUGGAAAUGGAGUUCUGAUUUCAGUAUAGAUGUUGAAGGAAUUCAGAGAGUUGUUCUUGACAAUAAUUUAACAGUUAUUAUACGAAUAAAGCAGUUGUCAAAUCAUCAAAAGCAGGUGAUUGUAGAUGGCCAGCUCACAUUUCACAGUGAGCUUAAUUUUCCUGUUCAGCUGCGAUGUAAAUUUCAUGUUCCUACAUCUCAGAAAGGUUUAGCAUCAAGUUUACAGUUCAUCAAAUCCCUUUCUCCCUGCAGCAGCUCACCAGCUUUUCUCUUAUCACCUGAACAAUGCAAAAAUAUGACUUUAUCUGUUACUGGUAUUUUAGAUACUCAGUUAUGGUCUGAAGAAUUUUUCUUAGAUGAAAAGAUGCUCAUAAAGAUUCCAUUUGAAAAUAAGAACGUGUUUCAAAAUGCAUGGUGUCAAGUUGCUAGGCAAAGCAUUGAGGAAAAUAUAACUGUUAUUGUUGUCUUUUUUUCUCCUUUAUUUGUGAUACGAAGUAACUUGCCUAUUCCUCUUAAUGUGGAAAUAAUCUCACAAGAAGGUAAUGAAUAUGAUGUUCACCUUAUUGGCCGUGGGCAAGAAAUUCAGCUGCUAGAUGGCUCUGAAACAGGGCAUGAACUUCAGUUCAAAUUCAAGCGUCAUGCUAGCUCUGAUACAGAUAUAUCAGCACCACCUUUAUCAGUUUCUGCUUCAUAUCUUUCAAAAAUGCCCAUAAAAAUGUUUGAAGGCCAUGAAAACCUUUAUGAAAUAUGCUGUCAAAUGCAAUCAUUUAAUAAUAUGAUGUGGCCAUAUAGUUUCUAUGAAAGGUCUUGUCAUCCUACUACUAUAUUGGAGUCUUUGUAUCCAUGCUCUGAAGAAUAUUCUAAUUUAAUUCUUGCUACAGGGUGUGUCAACAUUUGCUCAAAAUUGAAGGUUGAAUGUUCACAAAGGUGGGAAGGUUUGAAUACCAUUCUGAUAGAUGUGAAACCUUAUGUACUUUUGAUUAACAGAUUAAAUACUGACUUGUAUCUCUUUGACAAGAAUGGAUUUCAGUGGCUCCUGUCACAAAACUCAGUGGCUAUGCCUUCAUUCUCUGAAGAAAGCUUUCAGCUUAGCAUAAUGGAGCAUGGGAAGUAUUUUUACAGCUGUAACUUGACCCUAGAAGAAUCGGUAUCGCAAAAAAACGCCUCCACAAAUUUGUUGCCAACUUCAUUUGGUAACAAGGAAUUUCAAAGCAUUCCAUGCAAUGGUUCAUUAAAUAUUCUUAUACCUGUAUGCUUGGAGGAGAGAAAGGUGUUUAUGUUUACUCUGAAAUCUGAAGUUUGUGAAGGAAUGAUUGUUAUUACUGCAUUUCCAUUAAUAUCUAUCAUGAAUAAAACUCAAGAUGAAUUAUUCUUGUCUCUUCAUUGCAUUCAAAACAGUGCUGGGAAAGUAAAUUUUCAUCAGACAUGCAGGAAUCCAAUUGUUUUGGGUAGCUUAACUGAAUGCUGUUACCCUUUGGUUUGGUGGGAAGAUAUUACUUCAUCUUCAUCUCCAUUUCCUGAAUUAGUGGAGAUAAAUUUUUACAUAUCUCUUGCAAAAUCUUUGGAUCUAGAAUGGAGUUACCCUGUAUGCUUUGAUUCAAAGCUGAAAGAUCACUCCAGACAUGCUGUAGCUGUUCCAGUGAAAUAUGGUGCAAAUUCAUGUAUGAGUGUUCCAUAUGUUCUAACUAGUCACCUGCACAAUGGGCUUUUAUUUCUUGUCGUCAACCAAGAUCCUAAUCCAUUAUUGUUACUGCACAAUCGGACUAAUAUGGAUAUAUUUUAUGGUGAAAGUUGUUCUGAAGUUGAAGGUAUUACAAUUUAUGAAGAGCUUCAAAAACACAAAAUUAUUCCUGUCUUACACCCUGAAGGCUCCUGCCACUAUGCGUUUCCAUCUCUUGAGGCAAAGUUUCCACAGGUUCUACAGAAGUUGCCUAUGUUGUGCUUAGGCUCAAGGAAAAAGAGUUCUGAAAAAUGCACAUGGAGUAUGCCAUUCAAAAUUAAUAUUGAUAAACAAUUUGUUCACAUACUUGGCAUUUGUGAUAUUAUGGUGCAUAGUGAGCAAUUGGGACAUACACUUAAUUUAUACAUUGAGUCAGUUAAUCGCAUUGAACUAACUGCAAAGGAGGUUAGAAGUAGAAUAGCACUUGCCACAGAUUUUAAUAAUCAUGCUUCUUCAUUUGUGAAAGAAACAGAAUGUGCGAAAUCAAAAACUAGUUCUAAUAAAAAAGACUGUGAAAUAAAGGCAAGAAGUAAACUGCAGUCUGCUGGUAAGAAAUCAGUAAUGUGUGAAAGUACCGAACAUUUUUCUAAAUUUCCAUAUAUUUUUUACAUAAACUUGAGAGUUAUUCAUACAAGUUUUAUAAUUUGUGAUGAAUUUAAAGAAAUCAAUAAAAGCAUGGAAGUUUUAAGGUUGAAUAUUGAUAAUGCUGUAUUUUAUUCAAGACCUCAUAAUGGUGAUUCUCUUUGUAGACUUCAAGAAAUAUCACUUUGUUUUGAACAUAUUCAAUUAGAUAACCAAAUAGACCAAGAAAGUAACAUAGUAUACGAUUUUCCUGUAGUUCUACAAAGGCACUCUGAAUCAGAUGUUAAGUCUGGCAGAAUUCACCAUGAUGACAUUUUUUUGCCUAAUAAAGUAAGGGAAAAUUCUGUUUUUAUUUUGAGUGCAACUAUUGAAUUUCCUAAUAAUGUUUCAAACUCAAUUGUGUAUCGAUCAUUAAAUAUUGAAUUAUUGCCUGUUUCUCUUUACAUAGAAGAUACUUUUUGCUAUAAAGUUAUUGCUUUGUCAAAGACUUACAAGCCUGUCAGUUUUCAUCAACAUAAACUACAGAAAGUACGGGGAUAUUUUCCAAAGAAUCUUCUUUUUGUGUCGGCAUUAUUUGUUCAACCAGUUCAUUUUCAACAUAUGACAGUUAGUAUAAAAGAAAUAUAUUUAAGUUUGCAUGCUUCUUUGAAAAUAUAUCUUUCCCUUGAACAUUCCUUACUCAGAUUUCAGCCAUUUGAAGUGACAGAUCUUUUCACCACACCAUAUGAAGCUGGCCAUGUAUUUAUUCUUCAUUAUUUAACUGGUGCACUGUUCCGAGCAGGUUGGGUAUUUGGAUCGUUAGAUCUUCUUGGAAAUCCAGCAGGAUUUGCGCGUGCUGUUGGAAUUGGAAUGUCAGAUUUCGUGUAUUUGCCAUACAGAGGUUUAUUUCAUGGGCCAAGAGCUUUUAUCUAUGGAUUAUCUAGUGGUGCUGCUUCUCUUUUCAAACAAAUAUCAUCUGGUGCUAUUAUAUGCAUGGCUAGCUUGGCUUCAAGUGUGUCAAAAAAUAUGGAUUUCUUUUGCAUGGAUGAUGAGCAUCUAGCACGGCAAGAACUUCUGAGACGCCAUUUGCCUCAAGGCAUUUCAGAUGGUUUCAUUCAAGGAUUAAGUGGAUUUGGACUCAGUCUUCUUGGUGCUGUAGCAGGUAUUGUUGAUCAUCCUCUCCAAGUCAUAAUAUCUCCAUCCACCCCAAUGCAAACUGCUUCUGGAAUAGUUGGUGGACUUGGUAAAGGCAUUAUUGGCAUGUUUACAAAGCCCAUUGGUGGAGCUGCAGAAUUGUUAUCUCAAACAGGAUAUGGUAUUCUUCAUGGAGCAGGUUGGCUUAAUCCUCCAAAACGUCAGUAUCAGCCUGUCACAAUGUCAUUUGAAAUGGUGAUGAGCAGUUACAUGAAAUAUUUGUGUAAAGUUUCACAGUGUUCAUCACUUGGAGAAGUGUUGCUUUCAGUUGAAGCAACUUAUGUUAAUGAGAAUGGCGAAUAUGAAAAAAAUAUUCUUCUAUUAACAUCUGAGGCUCUAUGCAUUCUCACUGAAGAUGAAGUUUCCCUGCAGUGCACAUUUGCGUUAACAGAGAUAAAGUGUAAAAAAUCUGAAAGUGAUUUGAGCACUCUUGUAAUCAUUCCAAGUAAUCUGUGCAAGAAGCAACUAUUUCUGGUGUUUGAACAUGCUAACAAGAUGGCACUUACAGAGAAACAAGGAGGUGAAGUGAUAAAGCUGUUGGAGUUGGAACUGGUUUUCCUAUACAACUGAACUGCCUGAUCUGGUUUUUCCCAUACAAUGUCUUGAAGCAGUGAAGCACCUCUCUUAGUUACCAAAACAUUCAGUGGCUUGCCAUAAAGAUCAAAAUGUUUUGACAAGUUCUGAUGAUUCUUGUGAUGCUGUUGAUAGAGUUGCAGAGUAUGUGAAAAGAAAUCGGCUGGACUCUUCAGAGGCUAUUGAAAAUUUGCCAGAGAGUACCUCUGAUCCUUUAAUUAAUUCUAGUUCAUCUUGUCAUGUUUUCUUCU